This 472-nucleotide ribosomal RNA is filed under the name uncultured bacterium. Its description in RNAcentral is "partial 16S ribosomal RNA". It matches the Rfam family "Bacterial small subunit ribosomal RNA", at positions 34 to 540 of the family's 1533-position model. The record is from RNAcentral.
AACGAACGCUGGCGGCAUGCCUAACACAUGCAAGUCGAACGAGACCUUCGGGUCUAGUGGCGCACGGGUGCGUAACGCGUGGGAACCUGCCCUUAGGUUCGGAAUAACUCCCCGAAAGGGGUGCUAAUACCGGAUAAUGUCUUCGGACCAAAGAUUUAUCGCCUUUGGAUGGGCCCGCGUUGGAUUAGCUAGUUGGUAGGGUAAAAGCCUACCAAGGCGACGAUCCAUAGCUGGUCUGAGAGGAUGAUCAGCCACACUGGGACUGAGACACGGCCCAGACUCGGAGGGGGGUGAGAAGGUGAGAAUAUAGGAAAUGGGGAGAAGGCCUCAGCCAGAAGGGGGGCGGGGGGGGAGAAGGUGUUAGGGUUGUAAAGCGCUUUCGCCGGGAAUGAGAGUGACAGUACCGGGUAAGUAAGCGCCGGCUAGUCACGUGCCAGGCGCCGGUUAGUCAGGGAGGAGCAAACGGCUGAGC